UGGUGAAUAGAUGAUGACAUAAUCAUCUC
RNAcentral lists this small RNA (29 nucleotides) under Bombyx mori (domestic silkworm). Its description in RNAcentral is "ovarian small RNA-35173". Lineage: Eukaryota; Metazoa; Arthropoda; Insecta; Lepidoptera; Bombycidae. The record is from RNAcentral.